Molecule: long non-coding RNA, 1467 nt
Filed under: Marmota marmota marmota (Alpine marmot)
Lineage: Eukaryota; Metazoa; Chordata; Mammalia; Rodentia; Sciuridae
Description: lncRNA (ENSMMMG00000024060.1)
Source: RNAcentral
GGUGCAGGCAAAGCGCCUUUUAACAGGAAAAGAUGUUUGAUGGAAAAGGAAUCAUGAUUUUAUCAUAUUGCCAAUCACCAUUGCCAGGUUCUAACUGCAUGUUUUGGGGGUUCCUAGGCUGAGGAAGCUCUGCAAAAGUAUUUAAAGUCCAAAGAGUCUGUGAGUAAAGCUGUUCUACAGACAGACCAGGCUCACAGCCAAGGAAAAGGAGAUGGAAGAGGCACGUGCAAAAGCAGAGGCUGCCAAGGCUGAAUCAGAAAGUGUGGAGGAGAUUCGCAGGCAUAUGCGGCAAAUGAUGGAAGAGAAGGAGAGACUCCAUCAGCAGCAACUAAGACAAAUAGAGAUAGAAAGAGCAAAGUGUCUGGCACAGCAACAGUUGGAGCAGGAACGUCAUCUGAGGGAAGAAGCCGAAAAGCUCAAGUUGAUGCAUCAAGCUGAAAUGGCAAGGUUUCAAGAUCAGAUCCAGCAUAUCCACAGAACAAUGUCUGAGCCACAAGCUGCUCGAUGUAUCAUACUCUAAAGUACAUCAAAGCUUCCUUAUUUCUUUUCGCUAAAGACACAAAGAAACAAGAAACUAAAGAACUUGGAACAAUCAACAUUUAAAUAAUCCCGAAGCUUUCUGCCUAGUCUUCUAAUUUGUCUCUAGAUAUUGCAAGUCACCCAGGCGUCUAGGUAUUGCAAAUUAUCACAUGGGCUCAGUCAAAUGGAAUGGUACCCUGUUCAGCAUCACUACUGCUUAUGGUCAUGUGCUGGAUGCCAUCACAGGGAGGCACCAAUGGUACCAUGGAACAAUCCACAGUUUUUACCUGGUUGGAGACUGCUAUGCUAUGUGCAGUGGUGAAAAUUAUCAGCACUCUCAGUUGGCCUUCUGCAUAGAGAAAUUCCAAAUUCAAAGGAAACAAUGUUAACAUGAAAUGGAAAUCUUUAGAGGAUGAAAGGAAAUACUACUAUGGAAAUUGUGUCAUAAGCUUAAGGACUAAACAAAAAGCUUUUUCCUUUUCUCUAAUCCUCACUAAUUCAUAACUUAUAAUAGGUAACAACUUACAUGUGACUUAAUAUUUUUGCAUUACAUAUUUAUAAUCCUUUAGAGCUUGUAAAUAGGAAUCAUAAGUAAUAAUGUGUAAUGAGCCCAAGUACUGAUGGUGCUCAUAGAAUGAGUUUGGAAGGGUUCCUUCCUUUUCUAUUUCAUGUAAUACUUUGAGGAGUAUUGGCUUUAAUUUUUCUUUGAAUGUCUCAUGGAACUCGGCUGAGAAUCUGUCUGGUCCUGGGCUUUCUUGGUUGGCUUUUGAUGGUGUUUUCUAUUUCAUUACUUAAAAUUGAUCUGUUUAAAUCAUGUAUGACCUCCUAAUUCAGUUUGAGUAGGUCAUAUGCCACUGCAAAUUUGUCAAUGUCUUUGAUAUUUUCUAUUUUAUUGGAGUAUAAAUUUUCAAAAUAGUUUCUAAUUAUCUUCUGUAUUUUAGAUGUGAC